CUAACUCCUGGAAGCUCCAUUCAUGCCCACCUACCGACCGAGGAAGACGCUACCGAUCCCUGAAUCGAGGGACUACGCGCUUUCAAUCCCUUACAGCUGCCUUCCAAGCCCUUCCACUGCCCGAACUACCAAUCGCCCCACUAUCUGCUAGUCUGGUUCGACUCGAACUUCUGUCAUGUCAAGCUUCCUGACCUGCUUUGUACCAGCCGGUAUUUUGUGUACUUCGGGGCGCUGACUAGCCCUGCUCAACGCCCUACACCCUUCUCUUGAGCGCUUCAUUGAGCAUUUCUCUUUCCUAUCCCGUCCUUACGCUACGCUAUCCAUAAGGUUGACCUAGCCCUCUCUUCUCUCUCUUUGUCCACGCGAAGAUUCCAUUCCUUUCCUUUCCUAGCCUAUUCAAUGUGGUCAUGUAUGUAAUAGAAUUCAAUGGGAAGACCUCC
Molecule: long non-coding RNA, 440 nt
Filed under: Nicotiana benthamiana
Lineage: Eukaryota; Viridiplantae; Streptophyta; Magnoliopsida; Solanales; Solanaceae
Description: long non-coding RNA (NBEN_LNC004894)
Source: RNAcentral